GACGAACGCUGGCGGCGUGCUUAACACAUGCAAGUCGAACGGAAAGGCGCUGCUUUUGUGGGGUGCUCGAGUGGCGAACGGGUGAGUAACACGUGAGUAACCUGCCCUUGACUUUGGGAUAACUUCAGGAAACUGGGGCUAAUACCGGAUAGAAGCUCCUGCUGCAUGGUGGGGGUUGGAAAGUUUCGGCGGUUGGGGAUGGAUUGGCGGCUUAUGAGCUUGUUGGUGGGGUAGUGGCUUACCAAGGGUUUGACGGGUAGCCGGCCUGGGAGGGUGACCGGCGACAUUGGGACUGCGAUACGGCCCAGAAGCGUACGGGAGGCAGCAGGGGAGAACAUGGCACAGUGGGGGGAAGCCUGAUGCAGCAACGUUGCGAGCGGGAUGACGUCCUAUGGGGGGUAAACCGCUUUCGCAGUAGACGAAGCGUGCGUGACGGUAAUGGGUAAAGAAGCACCGGCUAACUACGUG
RNAcentral lists this ribosomal RNA (468 nucleotides) under uncultured bacterium. RNAcentral's name for it is "partial 16S ribosomal RNA". It matches the Rfam family "Bacterial small subunit ribosomal RNA", at positions 28 to 507 of the family's 1533-position model. The record is from RNAcentral.